RNAcentral lists this long non-coding RNA (1543 nucleotides) under Cricetulus griseus (Chinese hamster). Its description in RNAcentral is "lncRNA (ENSCGRG00015037234.1)". Lineage: Eukaryota; Metazoa; Chordata; Mammalia; Rodentia; Cricetidae. The record is from RNAcentral.
CCACGGUCAAGAGCAGUUGAGGGUGAGGAAUCCGCACAGCUGCAGUCUAGGCAGCCUGCCAAGGACGGAGGGCACCCAGUGCCAGGGCCAGCCCGAGGACAGGCUGUUGAGGCUUGGACACCAAGGACAACGGCUGCCUCCCGUUGGCUGUGCCCGUGUGGAAGACUGUUGGAUUCAGCUCAGGGCAGUAAGGCAGGUCUCAACCUCUGCUGGGACAGAGAUUAUUAGCCAGGGUAUGGGGCACAUCGGUCUCACAUGCGCUGUGUGACUUAACCUCUCUGAACCUCGUUUUCUCAUCUAUAAAAAUGAAAACUGUGGGGGCUGGAGAGAUGGCUUGGUGGUUAAGAGCACUGGCUGCUCUUCCAGAGGACCUGGGUUCAAUUCCCAGCAACCACAUGGCAGUUCACAAAUGUCUGUAUCUCCUGUUCCCGGGGAUCUGACAUCCUCACACAGACAUACAUGCAGGCAAAACACCAAUGUAUGUACAUAAAAAAGAAAAAUACAGCACUCAGGAGGCAGAGGCAGGCGGAUCUCUGUGAGUUCGAGGCCAGCGUGGUCUCCAGAGCGAGUGCCAGGAUAGGCUCCAAAGCUACACAGAGAAACCCUGUCUCAAAAAACCAAAAAAAAAAAAAUAAUAAUAAUAAUAAUAAUAAUAAUAAUAAUAAUUUUUAAAAAAUGAAAACUGGGGGCUAGAGGGAUGGCUUAGAGGUUAAGAGCAUUUACUACUUUUGCAAAGGACCCUGCCUGGGUUCCCAGCACAAACACCUUUAACUCCUAUUCCAGGGGAUCCAAAACCCUCUUCCAGUCUCCAUAGGCACCCAAGUACAUGGUUCACAUAUAGAUAAGUGUAUGCUCGCAGACACACACAGGGACACACACACACACACACACACACACACACACACACACACACACACUCUUUAAAAGGAUGAUGAAGAAGGCCGGGCGUUGGUGAUGCACACCUUUAAUACCAGCACUCUGGAGGCAGAAGCAGGUGCAUCUCUGUGAGUUCGAGACCAGCCUGGUCUACAAGAGCUAGUUCCAGGACAGGCUCCAAAGCUACACAGAGAAACCCUGUCACGGAAAAACUAAAAAACAAAACAAAAGGAAGCUGAAGAAGAUGGACCAGUAGCUCAUGUCUAUAGUCCCAGCACUCAGGAGGCUGAGCCUGAGGCAGGGGCAGGAGACCCUCUUAAAAUCCCAGACCAUCCUGGACCACAUACACAGCGGGACCUAUCUCAAAACAUCAGCAACUACAAAAAAAGACAGCGAUGGCCAUCUCCUGAGAGAUAUAAAGAUGGCACACAGAGAUGCCCAGUAUCCAGAAUCUUGGGGGUGGAGGCUGAGGGGUGGGCACUUGGCUGUUUGAGAAUAAAGGCAUAAUUAACCAGCAUCUUCCCCGUCCCAGGGCCACACUGAUUUUACAAACCUUGAGGAACUAAAGAACCCCUGAGCCUAAGCCACAGGCGUCCAGCGACAGUGCUGAAAGGAAGUUACAUGAGGCCCACAGCCAAAGUGACCAAGACACAGAGAAGCCUUUGGA